RNAcentral lists this ribosomal RNA (512 nucleotides) under uncultured bacterium. Its description in RNAcentral is "partial 16S ribosomal RNA". It matches the Rfam family "Bacterial small subunit ribosomal RNA", at positions 28 to 507 of the family's 1533-position model. The record is from RNAcentral.
GACGAACGCUGGCGGCGUGCCUAAUACAUGCAAGUCGAGCGAGCGGAACUAACAGAUUUACUUCGGUAAUGACGUUAGGAAAGCGAGCGGCGGAUGGGUGAGUAACACGUGGGGAACCUGCCCCAUAGUCUGGGAUACCACUUGGAAACAGGUGCUAAUACCGGAUAAGAAAGCAGAUCGCAUGAUCAGCUUUUAAAAGGCGGCGUAAGCUGUCGCUAUGGGAUGGCCGCGCGGUGCAUUAGCUAGUUGGUAAGGUAAAGGCUUACCAAGGCGAUGAUGCAUAGCCGAGUUGAGAGGCUGAUCGGCCACAUUGGGACUGAGACACGGCCCAAACUCCUACGGGAGGCAGCAGUAGGGAAUCUUCCACAAUGGACGCAAGUCUGAUGGAGCAACGCCGCGUGAGUGAAGAAGGUUUUCGGAUCGUAAAGCUCUGUUGUUGGUGAAGAAGGAUAGAGGUAGUAACUGGCCUUUAUUUGACGGUAAUCAACCAGAAAGUCACGGCUAACUACGUG